GACGAACCGUGCAAACGUUGUUCGGAUUCACUGGGCUUAAAGGGCGCGUAGGCGGGUGGUCAAGUCAGGGGUGAAAUCUUUCAGCUCAACUGGAAAACAGCUUCUGAUACUGGCCAUCUUGAGGGAGGUAGGGGCAUGUGGAACUUCCGGUGGAGCGGUGAAAUGCGUAGAUAUCGGAAGGAACGCCGGUGGCGAAGGCGGUUCUCUGGGCCUUACCUGACGCUGAGGAGCGAAAGCGUGGGGAGCGAACAGG
This 253-nucleotide ribosomal RNA is filed under the name uncultured bacterium. Its description in RNAcentral is "partial 16S ribosomal RNA". It matches the Rfam family "Bacterial small subunit ribosomal RNA", at positions 524 to 776 of the family's 1533-position model. The record is from RNAcentral.